This 409-nucleotide ribosomal RNA is filed under the name Plagusia squamosa. RNAcentral describes it as "partial 16S large subunit ribosomal RNA". It matches the Rfam family "Archaeal large subunit ribosomal RNA", at positions 1992 to 2666 of the family's 2987-position model. The record is from RNAcentral. Lineage: Eukaryota; Metazoa; Arthropoda; Malacostraca; Decapoda; Plagusiidae.
AAAAAUUUAAAGGCCGCGGUAAUUUGACCGUGCAAAGGUAGCAUAGUAAUUAGUUUCUUAAUUGGGAUCUUGUAUGAAUGGUUGGACAAGAAAAAAUCUGUCUUUAUAUUUAUUAUUGAAUUUAACUUUUGAGUGAAAAGGCUUAAAUGAAUUAAAGGGACGACAAGACCCUAUAAAACAUUAUAUUGGGGUGAUAAAGGUAAAAUUGAUAACUGCUUAAUUUUUAAAAACAAAAAUAAAUGAAAUGAUCCUAAUUAAAGAUUAAAAGUUUAAGUUACUUUAGGGAUAACAGCGUUAUUUUUUUUGAGAGUUCAUAUCGAAAAAAAAGUUUGCGACCUCGAUGUUGAAUUAAAAUUUCUAUAUAAUUGCAGCAGUUAUAUAAGAAGGUCUGUUCGACCUUUAAAUUUUU